Molecule: long non-coding RNA, 7042 nt
Filed under: Phaseolus vulgaris (common bean)
Lineage: Eukaryota; Viridiplantae; Streptophyta; Magnoliopsida; Fabales; Fabaceae
Description: long non-coding RNA (PVUL_LNC001131)
Source: RNAcentral
UUUUCGGACGGUACAAACCAGAGCUGACUCAAUGCUUAUCCACUACUUGCAAGUUUGGAAAAUGAUACUGAUGAUUACCCGUUUCCUCCAUAGAAUGGGAAUGGAAUAAGUUAGCUUUUCUUUCGAGAGGCCCUCGUAAACAUCUCUCUAAUGUUGUGUGAUUCUGUCUCCAAUUUUACUUUCUUCGCUUGUCUACCUUUCUUUGCAAUUGUACCCUUCUUAUCUUGCUGUUGUUCCUGAUAAUUAGUAGUACACAAAUUAAUUCAAAACGAAUAACAAAUCCAGACUCAUUCUUUUUCCGUCCCAACAAAUACCUGUAAUUCGUUACAUAAACCUGAGUUACUUCCUUCAACAUUUACUUCUACUUUUCCAAUAACCUCGAGUAUAUUUAACCUGCAAAACAAAAAUCUUCUUAAGGAAUAUAUCUUAAGAAUCCUAUUUCAACCCCCUCAAUGGUUUCUCUUCCAAGUUAUCACCACAAGGAAUAUACAGGUAAAAUCUUUAAAACAAGACAUUAUAAAAGGCUAUACUUAAGAUGGUUACACAAAAGCUCCAACCAAGGCUUUUCCUUGAAAUACUCUCCUAAUAUAGAGACUGCAUCAAUCACUGCAUCACACAAGAGCGUUAAUGCACAACAAAACAUUGAAACAAAAAGACAAGGUAUGCAUGAUUUAAAGUAUUAAGAAAAGCAUCAGAUUAUUAUCAAGGAUGGUAUUGUUGCUUCAGUUAUUUAAAUAAAAGAUUACAAUGAAGCAUCAACAUAGAUGUGUAUUUUGCUCAUGCAACAAUCCAGAAUGACAGAACUGUAUUCUUAAUUGGUAAUCCCUCAAAUAAGAGGGGAGAACAGUAACCAUUAGUAUGUUUUCAGAUAAUAAGAAUAUAGAUAGCCUAUUAACAAAAAGGAUAAAUUCAACUAUCCUAUUUCUAUCUCCCAGGUUUAACCAACAACACAACAUGCAAUUAUUCGUUUCAAUGCAUUAUAGAUUAUAGUAUAUCUUUCCUCAAAUAUUUUAGCCUUUACAUAAAAUAAAAAAUGUUAGUUUCUACAAGUUGUCAUUGUAUCCCUCAUCACUGUCGCCCAUGUGUACAGACACAAUACAAUCAGAGCCGUGAUAAAUCUCCAAAGUAUUGCCAUAUUAAAAUGCCUCCAUUUUCCAUAUAAAAUGCAUUUAUAUCUUUUUUUUCCGAAAGAUAAACAUUUUACGAAGUAUUUAACCUCAGCAGAAUAAAAUUAUCCAACAGAACACAAAAUGAUAAUAAACACUUUACAUGUGUCUUUCUCUGAUUGAACAGCAUAGUUUUUGUCCAAAUUGGGUAGUGUCUGUUUUAGCUGACAAACCUAAAAUAAGACAAACCAAAUUAACAAACUUCUGAUACAGGUAAAAGGUUUUCUAGCAUUUAAAUCAAAGAUGGUCAAACAUCAGCCAAAGAAAAGUAGAUGUUUGAAAGCAAACUAUAAGCAAUUUAACUAUUUCCUAUAUUGCUUAAUAGGUGGAUACAUGUAUCAGCAAUCAAAUAUGAAAUCGACAAGACAUGUUUCAGUGUUGGUUACAUUUUCGCAAAAACACAUCAUGAAGUUCGGGCAUUCAUAACCAAAUAUCAUACCUCCAUAAUAGUUAAUGGAGGAUUGGUUUUGCUGCGCAAAUACCAUAUCAAGCCUAUACUAGUUUUUUUUCCCUGAAAGAGGGAGAAGAUUUAACAUCAUAUAAACCAAAUGACAGUUAAAGAAAUAUAGACAAACCUUAUAGCACAUCCAACGUAGAACUUUUGAGUCAUCAAGUCUGAAGAAUUUUGAGGAUCCAACUUCUGCAUAAGCAUGACGUUACAAGACCAUGAGAAUUAAAAACAAGAAAAUGAUUAACAAUGAGUUCACCACACUUUUCUAUCAUCAACAUUAUAAAAAACAUAAAGUCAACAACAAACUUCUCAAUUUCUUUCCAAGAUGCUGCCCAAUAAUGACUUAGAUCAUAAGAAAACAUGGCAAACUUUCAAACUGAAGUUGUAAAUAGAAAGAGUACAAGAAUAUAGUCACCUUUGACUUCAGAAACAACUUGCAUACAGUUCUCCACAACAGACAUUAACUGCAUAUAUCCUGGAUAGCCAUCAAUAAAUAAUAUCUCAUCUAAUUGCCUGAACCUCCCAAGAUCAUCCCCUUUCUGCUUGCAUUUCAAAGAAACCAGUGACGUUCAGAGAUGUAGUUUUUCAGGGUCAAAAUACAAUGUAGACCUAAUUAAUCCAUUCACAAAACUAAAUGGUAGGAGUUCUGCGGACCACACAAACGAGGGAUUUCAUGGACUUUGUGUGUAGAGGUUUCUCUGAGGAUAUAAACCUAUAGUUAUUAGAUUGGGUGGGUUCUAUACUUAAGGUGUCAUGUGAGAAAUUAAAACUUUUGUUCUGUUUAAUAGUUGGCCAAGGAUACAUAAAUGGAAAAGACUUCAGAAAUAAGAAAUUUCUUCCAAUUGCCAUGGUUCAAAAGAAAUAUAAAACUUAUUACCUUCAUUCUAGCUUCCUCAAAUAUAGGCAACAUGAUGAAAACAGGAUCAAUUGGUGUGGAUAAAUACAACCGACCAUCUGUUGGGAAACAAAAACAAUAACGAUGAAAAAUUCUGCUUAAAAGUGCUGCUUAGUUUCUCCAUGAAUGAAAGACCUAGAGAGUAGAGACUACUGACAUGACAAGAGCAAACACAAUGCUUUCAAUCUGACAAAAGAACAAGAGAUUUUCAAAAAAAAAUUAAGUGUUGGUAAGAAGUACAAGAACAUGGCAUAGGCAGAGCAGGAACGGAAGUAUUAUUUUUUUAAGUAUAAGUAAAAAAGAUUUCCAGACAAGAGAUAAAUGAGAGAAAGAAAUGUACCUCACGCAAUAUAAACAUGAAUAACAAUGCAAAAUGCAUACUUUACAAGAUAAUCAAACAUCUCUACCUUCAGUUAUAUAAUCUCCCAAAAACCAAGAUCCAUACAAGUUCUUAAACCACUGAAGUUCUUGAAGCAUUCCAUUUGCAAACAGAUACUGUGUUGCAUUUCCUGUCAAAGAAGCGGAAAUAUGUAAAAACUGAAAGAAAACGCAAGAUCAAGAAGCCUGAAUAAAAGGCUAAUUCCUUGAGAAAGAUUGAUAGCAAAAUUGAGUGUGAUACGAUGUUAUUAACUGAAUAAACAAAUUUUAAUCAACACAUUAAGAAAUUGAGAUAGAAAAAUCAAAUAAAUAAUAUUUAUAUAAACAAGCAACAAAACACUAUGAGAAGUACAUAAAAUAAUGGACAUCCUUCAAAUUACCAGACUUGGGAUGGCGGAGCGAUAUCAUCUGUCCCAGACCAUUUCCACAGGUUCCAGGAUCUGCACUUGAGUAAUAAAUAAUUAAAUAAAAUGCAUUAACAACUGAUUGUAAAGUAAUGCAAAAAAAAAAUAUUAAGAAAAUAAAAAUAUCUUCAACGGCACAUAACAAUGAGAAAUUGGUCGCAAAAUAAGAAUAUAAAUCGAAAUAAAUGAUCGGAAGCUAAAUAUUACCAGUCAUCGGAAACCAAAAAACAGAAGCAUUUUUCUAUUAAAAUUAAUUUUGGUAUUGUUUUUCUGUUCGUAUAUUUUGUCUAUUAGAAGUGACUAUAACUUUAUAGAUGGAAAUAAAGAAGAACAGAAAUAUCAAGAACAGAUGAGAUGUAAAUUUACCAGGUGCGAUGAGAACCCGUGGUUCCUGAACCCCAUCACACCAACUCAUUGGUUUAGCAGAAGAGGAUUCAAAAGCCCUAACACCACCAGUCACCGAUCGUUCCCUUCGCCGGUAACGGUAACUGCAAUUCUAACGGAAUAAUGUUAAUGUCACAAGUGAAUUGCAAUGUAGAAAGAACAAGAACACAGUAAAACUUACAUAUUUAGAGUAAAGAGAGCUUUAACAGGGAAGGUAACGAGGGAGGAGUUAGAGUGGCGCUGAAUCGCCAAAUGAAGUGCUCCUGGGAAUCUGAAGCUCAAACAUAUUCGCGCCAUUAAAAUCACCCUUCUGCUUUUUUCCCUUCUCGGACACGGGCCCUAUCUACACCAAUCGGACCAGGCCCAAUGGGCUUAGUGUUGCUUCAACCGAGUCCAAUUUUUAUUUAUAUAUUUAAUAAAGUGAUACUUAUCAUUCUUAUUUUUAAAUAAGUUUUUUUUUAAUAUAUAAAACUGAUUUUAUUUUAUAAUUUAUAUUUUAUAUUAAAUUUGGCUACUCAUACUUUUUUUUCGUAAGAAAAAUGUGUGUGCUGAUAACUUAGCUAAUUUAGGAUUUAUUUAUAGAGAAUCAUUUUAUUGGUAUAAUUUAUUUUCAUCAAAUCUGUUCUUAAAAUUCUUUAUAUUCUUUAUUAAUAGGUAUAAUCUACAUAUCUAUCGUUUUUGUUAACAUAUUGGUUUUGGUCUAGUCUCUCCAUAUUUUUGUAUUUUUUUUUUAAUAAUACUUUUUUUUAUGUGAUGACAAAUUCAUAGUAAGCAUUUUAUAUAAAAAAUAAUAAUAAUGUGCUUAAGAAUGUCUAUUAUGAUUGAAGAUUAUGUUUUCUGAUCACAAGUCCAACACAGCGGAAUGGAAGAGAGAUCCAUAAUCUGUUAUUAGCAAGUUUUGUCGUAUCUUGUAUUGAAAUCACGACCCAUCUAAAUAAAACGUUUACAUCAUUGUUUCUAGUGAUGAUUAAUUUCAGUGUCACAAUGAAGUCAAAAAUAUAACACAUCGAAUUAAAUUAUAUAUAUAUACAUAUAUAAUUUAUUGGAUAAGUUUAUUUUUAAGUUAAAAUUAAUAAAAAAAAACAUAUGAACAAGAACCAAUAUAUUUUUUAAUUCAUUUUAUUCUUAUUUCUUUUAAUUUCUCUUUAUAAUUAACAUUUUCCGCAAGUAAUAUAUGAAUCAUGUUUAAAUAAGAUUAUAACUGAAUUCUUUGGGAGAUGUUUUGCGUUUACUAACCCUAUUUAUACUUUAAUUUUAUUAACUUAUCAUGCAAUAGAUGAUCUAUGUCAAGUACCAUACAAUCCAAGACACUACAUUACAUUACAUUAUCUACUCUCAAACUCUUUUAUUUAAUUAAAAAUAACAACAACAAGUUUACACGAUUAAACAUUGAAAUGAUAAUCAAACAUUUUCACAUGACAAAUCAUAAACAACAAAUAUAAAAUUUUUAAAAAAUAUAAAUGAUCAAAUGUGAGUCCUAUCAAUAGUUUAAUUUAAUAUAAUUGAAGUUUAUAUUUUCUAAAAUACAAUACAAUGAUUAAAUAUGAAAAAAAAAAUAUGAUUGAGAUUGUGAUGAGAGAGUAAGUGUAUUGAAAUCUAAGUAAACUUAGUCGAUAUAUAAUUAAUUGAAUAAUUGAAAAAAAUGGAAAAUUGUUUAGAAAAAAAAGGAUAAAAUGAAAAACAAUAAAGAUAACAUUAAAAAUAAGCUUUUUAAGUUAGAAACAAACUAAAUGAUUUAAAACAAAACGGGUAUAAGAACAAGGAUUAAAUAUACAUCCUCAUCCAUAUUUACUAUAUAUUUAAAAAAUUUGACAUUACUCAUAUCUUGUUAAAGCGGUUUUUUUUUAGAAUCAAGACAAAUUUAUAACCACAAAAACAAGUUUUUUUUUUUUUUAAUUUCUACUUUCAACUAAGAGUUCGGUUGAAAAAAAAAAUCAUGAAAUAUCCCUUUUUUUUCAUUAAGAUUUAUGUAAUAUGUUUAGAAAAAAAAGGUAUAUAUAUAUAUAUAUAAUUUUGAUAAUUAUUUAAUUUGUUAUUAGAAUGUUUCCAUCACGUCAACACAUGAUAAUUUACUUUUACUUGUGAAAUGGAUAGCCUUAACUCCGUAUAGGAUCAAUUAUUCCAUAUUUAAAGUAAUAUCAUCAUAUUUGAACCUUUGACUCCUUUAUCAUUUGCUUAAAAGAUUCAAGUCUUGCUAAUUUAUCAACAACUUUAAUAAAUGUUUACACUUUGAAUCGUCUUGUUGAAUGUUAAAAUUAUAAAUUCCAUAUAGAUUGAUAAUUUACAAUUAAUAACUUCAUCAAUUUGAUGAUUGCUGUAUCUUUCUUUAUUCACCUUGGUAAGUUAAGUUUAAUGUUUAUUUAUUGAAUUUACUUUUUAUAUUAUUAAUAAAAAUAAUGUUAUAUAAAAAGAAGUUAUAUGAGAUACCCUGAUCCACGUAUAACUUACUCGGUUUUCCAUUCUUUAAUCACUUAACCAAACCAUGUUACUAGUUUUUACUAUUUUUCUUACAUUUAUUAAAAUAUUGAAUACUUCUAAGAUAUCAAAUAUAUUUUUGUAGUGAAAGUGAAGUUCAAGAAUAAAAACUAACCAAUCUUGGUCGGUUUAAGAAUAUUUGCUUAUUAUUUUUUAUAAAAUAUUAACAAAUUUAUUUAUAGGUCCAAGAAAUAACGAGAUGAAAGAAAAUAGAGCUUCUUAUCUAAAAAUUUGUAAGGCCGUAUCUUAAAUUCUAACCUUUAUUUUACUGAUUCUCAUCUUUCUUUCAUAAAAAACUGUGUCGGUAGGAAAUGACACAUGAAUCAUGAUACUUUUCUCCUCCAUAAAAAAAAACAUCUAAUUAUGAUUGAAAAAACCAACGGUAAAGUAUGGAAAAAUUUGUGUCGGUCCAACCAAGACUCAUCAAACUAAAAAAUUAUUUUAGUCAUUUUUUAAUAAAUAAAAUAUACUAAAACAUAAUUAUAAAUUAAUUUGGUCUAAAAUUCAUUUAAACUUCAGAUUAAACAGGUCCUACUAAAAUUUAUCUACUUUAAUUUAAAUUACUAUUUUCAAAUAUAAUCCGUUCUAUUAUGGAUUAUUCAAAUCGAUCCUUUGAGUUAGAUUUUUUUUUACCAAUUUUACUACUAGUUAAAUUAAUAAAUAAUAAUAGAAUCUAAAAAUAGCACUUUUUCGGACGGUACAAACCAGAGCUCACUCAAGGCUUAUCCACUACUUGCAAGUUUGGAAAAUGAUACUGAUGAUUACCCGUUUCCUCCAUAGAAUGGGAAUGGAAUUAGUUAGCUUUUCUUUCGAGAGGCCCUCGUAAACAUCUCUCUAAUGUUGUGUGAUUCUGUCUCCAAUUUUACCUUCUUCCUUGUCUACCUUUCUU